CCUACGGGUGGCAGCAGUGGGGAAUAUUGCACAAUGGGGGAAACCCUGAUGCAGCGACGCCGCGUGAGUGAAGAAGUAUCUCGGUACGUAAAGCUCUAUCAGCAGGGAAGAAAAUGACGGUAACUGACUAAGAAGCCCCGGCUCACUACGUGCCAGCAGCAGCGGUACGACGUAGGGGGCAAGCGGUAGCCGGAUUUACUGGGUGGAAAGGGAGGGACGACGGCAGCACAAGUCUGGAGUGAAAUCCCGGGGCUUAACCCCGGAACUGCUGUGGAAACUGGGCGGCUUGAGUGCAGGAGGGGUAAGCGGAAUGCCUAGUGUAGCGGUGAAAUGCGUAGAUAUUAGGAGGAACACCGGUGGCGAAGGCGGCUUACUGGACUGUAACUGACGUUGAGGCUCGAAAGCGUGGGGAGCAAACAGGAUUAGAUACCCCGGUAGGC
Molecule: ribosomal RNA, 440 nt
Filed under: uncultured bacterium
Lineage: Bacteria
Description: partial 16S ribosomal RNA
Rfam family: Bacterial small subunit ribosomal RNA
Source: RNAcentral